Molecule: ribosomal RNA, 497 nt
Filed under: uncultured bacterium
Lineage: Bacteria
Description: partial 16S ribosomal RNA
Rfam family: Bacterial small subunit ribosomal RNA
Source: RNAcentral
GACGAACGCUGGCGGCGUGCCUAAUACAUGCAAGUUGAGCGCUGAAGGUUGGUACUUGUACCAACUGGAUGAGCAGCGAACGGGUGAGUAACGCGUGGGGAAUCUGCCUUUGAGCGGGGGACAACAUUUGGAAACGAAUGCUAAUACCGCAUAAAAACUUUAAACACAAGUUUUAAGUUUGAAAGAUGCAAUUGCAUCACUCAAAGAUGAUCCCGCGUUGUAUUAGCUAGUUGGUGAGGUAAAGGCUCACCAAGGCGAUGAUACAUAGCCGACCUGAGAGGGUGGUCGGCCACAUCGGGACUGGGACACGGCCCAAACUCCUACGGGAGGCAGCAGUAGGGGAUCUUCGGCAAUGGACGAAAGUCUGACCGAGCAACGCCGCGUGAGUGAAGAAGGGUGUCGGAUCGUAAAACUCUGUUGGUAGGGAAGAACGUUGGUGAGAGUGGAAAGCUCAUCAAGUGACGGUAACUACCCAGAAAGGGACGGCUAACUACGUG